UGCUCUUGGACAAUACGGACUGUUGCAAGAAAUGUAAACACGUUGCUAGUAUCUAGAGGAAUUCCCAUCAGAUAGCAUGCCCAGAAAGUUACUACUGUAAUUACGAGAGGGUAUGACCAAAAGAGUGCUAGGUAAUAGCCUCUUUGUGUCAGAAUUGCGGACAACCACCUUUCUUCUUCUUUCCUCAAACCUUCUACAACAUGUCUAAAGUGCGUCUCCCAACCAUACAACUUCAGUACUUUCAUGUUAGUCACUGCCUCCGUAAUGGCCUUGAGCCUUAUGUCUUGUGCUACCAUGAGUUUUGUCAGGUACCUGUGUUGCAGUUUAACCAUUGGAGUAUUUACCACUAUUAUUAGAAUCACUGCUAGUAGGGCUGCAAUUGUCGCUUUGCCUACAGUAUAGUAAAUGACAAGAAGUGCAAGACAUAAUUGCAGACUCGUUGCCCAUAUCCGAUGAAAAAAACAUGGAAAUUCACCAAUUCUAUAAGCAUCUACUGUGACAUAAUUCAGAAUCUGGCCCCCAGAAUGAAUUGCUUUAGCAGCAGUUGAUAGUCUGAGUUGCUUCUGGUAAAUUGCUGCAGAGAGCGUAGAUCUUACUUGGACUCCAAUCAGUCUUGUUUGAAAGUUCCAUUGUCUUUCCGAAAGUGAUUCCAUACCUUUGGCCAAAAAUAAGCCUGCGGCUAGUGCAUAGCCCUCGUAUUUAAAAGACUCCUUGCCUUGAGCAACCUGAAUGAAAGCUUUAAGUAGCAGAGGACCAGAAGCAAGUGCAAUUACCUUGAUCAAUGCAAAAAGACCGGACACUAAGAUCGCUUUAAGCUGCCAGAUAAAUAUAGUUGAUAAAAUUGGAAGAGAGCCAGAGGUUCCUUUUUUUGUCUGUGCUGUCAGUUGCUCCAUAAACUUGGAGUAACACGUCUCUGCACGAUCUUCAUGCUUUAAUUUCGGAAGAUCAAUGUCCUCCAAAACUUUAAUUUUACCCUUCUUCAGUAGCGGGUUCAACCACCAGAAGGACAUUAUACUCAGAAUUCCUGCAUUACUGAAAGGAGUAACAUUUUCAACCUCGUUGAUUUUUAUGUCAUCGCCAGCCUCUUCACCUUGCGAACGUACAGAGGGUGUCUUCUUCAAUUCUUGUUUCCAUUUCUGCAUAUUUAAAAUUCCACAAAAACACGUAAGGAAAAUAUAUAUAAUUGCUCCUGGUCAAGUUAAGAAGAGGGCUGACAGAGGCUUGAAACCCUAAGAUAACACCGCUAGCCACUGAUGCCAACAAUCUGGACUAGGUACUCCCAAGAGUAAGAGAUUGUUUUCAUUAAGACCACGGUUUUUAAAAAAUUAAUCUUUGAAAUGUCAUAAAUUAAGAAAAUUAUCCCACUAAAGAAAACUAUCAUAUUUCUUACACAAGCUUGUACAAGUCAGUAAAUUUCAACUUACAAAUACAAAACCAUGAUUAACAUUCUGAAAAUGCUAGAUACCCAAAAAUUGUUCCGAAAUCUAGUUAGACAAUAUAUGAUUGGUUCCACCACACUAAUAAUAAUAAUAAUAAUAAUGGGAUCUUUAUACGCACAUAAUCUGUCCAAUUAAAAUCAACCAUUUGUCGGUUACAUCAUUUAAGGAAAAAAAAAUUAUGAACAACAUUUGUGAUAAGUAACAUUACUCCUAACAUUCAACCAGGAGCAAAAAACCAUCAUGCAUACAAGAACACUAGCGCCUUCUGUUUUUCAAUAAUGACACACUCACGCACCCGUCUUGUCGUUAUCUGUCUAUGUUAUGAACCCACAAGUGAAUGAGUAAAGAACACACACCUUCUACGAUCGACUUGAAGCAAAUGCAGAUAUCAUAUAGAGGAAGAACGGAAGAUUCUUGAGAGUCGAAGUAUGAUUAAGCAGAUUCUCCAACGACAAGGAUUUAAUAUGUAAUGUAUUAACCAUUACAGUGAAUUAUUACUAUAACUAGAAAAUGGAGAAAAUGCCCCAUAUGCGAAUCAUUACAUGUGAAACGAUUUCAAUUUUAAAACAAACUUAAAAUCGCCAAUAAUGCAAUUUAAUAUGUUGAUGAACGUCUAAUUAUAAUGGUCAUUUCCAUUAUUGGAGCAAUUUAAUCUGAUGUAUGACCUUGCACAGGGCGGAACUAGGGCUGAGCAUUCGGUCGGUUCGGUCCAGAACCGGACCGGACCGAACGGACCGAGAACCGAACUUUGAAAAUUUUCUGGACCGGACCGGACCGAAGUUUGCAUAUGGACCGAACCGGGACCGAACCGAAAUAAUUCGGUCGGUCCGGUCCGGUCCGCCAGAACCGAAUUAAAAAAAAAAUUAAUCUGUAUUUACAAAAAAAAUCAGCAAGCAUGAUAAAAGAGAAAAAAGAUAGUACCACCAAUCCACAUCCACCACAGAUAAUCUAGAGAGCUAACAUUCAAAGCACAACUCCAAAAUAGUCAUAAGUUUAUAAAUUUUAAAAACCACCACAGUAGUCUCAAGUCUGCUAGUUCAAAAAUAAAAUAAAUAGUCUGCUACUACUAGUCUUCAACUCUUCAUCAUUUUGUUUGUCCGCUGAUGCUCUGCUGCUCAUGUUCAUGGAACUAACUCAUGCUGUCAUGCUCGAUUAGGUAUGCGUAUGCUCGAUUAGAUUAGGUAUAGAGAGUCUCGACGGUGAAUAUAGUCUAUAGAUAUUAGAUAGUAUAAUUAUAAUAUGGUAUUUAAAAUAUAAAAUAAAAUUAUUAUUUAUAUUAUAUAUAAAAGUUCGGUCCAUUCGGUCCAGGACCGAAAUUUUUCGAUGGGGACCGGACCGGACCGUAUUUUAUUUCGGUCCGGACCGAAAUACCCGAACGGACCGAAUUUUCAGAAAAUUAGGACCGAACCGGACCGAAAUUAUUCGGUCCGGUCCGGUUUUUCGGUUUCGGUUCGGUUCUGCUCAGCCCUAGGCGGAACCAAGGGGGGGCUAGCCCCAGCGCCAGCCCCGGCUGAGAAAAAAAUUAAUAAGUAAAAUAUAUAUAUAUUCAACUUUUUAGCCCGGGGGCAAAUUUAAAAAUGAUUAUAUAUAUAAAAAAUUAGCUCAAAUUGAAAUUACAUUUCUCUGAAAUGGACUAGGUUUUGUUAACAAAUCAGCUGGAUAAUUUCAUUUAUGAUGUGCAAAAUGAUAAUAGUUUCUCUGAGUUUCAAAAUAUUGCAGAGCUUGCUAUUAAGAUGGUCGGAACACAUAGAAGUACAACUUAUCCUUUGGUUUACCGUCUCACUGGGCUAGCUUUGAUUUUAACUGUCGCAACAACUACUGUUGAAAGAGUGUUUUCUGCAAUGAAAAUACUUAAGACUUAUUUGCGUAACAGGAUGGGGAUGAGUGGUUGAACGAUAGCAUGCUGGUUUACAUCGAGAAGGUCAUAUUUAGAGACAUAAACGACGAAAUUAUCUUACAAGGCUAUCAAAUUAUGCAAAAUCGUAGAGUUCAAUUGUAGUUUAGCCCGGGGUCAAAAUUAAUCCUGGUUCCGCCACUGACCUUGCAGCAGCAUGAGCAUCUAUAGUGAUAGUUAAUUUAAUCUGAUGUGUCUUGAGGUCUGAAGAAAUAUUUCUCUACAGAGUUGGUAAAACAUAUACUACCACGUUCUUUUAAUUUUGGCACAUUCCUAAGACUUUUACAUUAUAAUUAAAAUUAUUAUUUUUAUAAUUUUUUAUUUAAAUUAUAUCAAUCAUAUAAUUUUAUUCCGAAAUUUAUCUUUCCAAAAAUAAUGAGUUUAAUUCUAUGAUUAAACGACUAAAAAAAUACAUGUCAACAAGGAAAGCGACUAUAUUUUAAAUCAACCGAAAUAAUUCACACGAUACGAAAUAUUAUAAUAAUAACAUAAUGUUCUUUUGAAAAGAAAUAUGACACAUUUUUUAUUCUUUAUUAUUCAAUCAACAAUUUUUUUAAUAAGACAACUGAGUGUGUUUGCCCGGAUUUUAUAUUUGAAUUUUAAGCUAUUUUAGACUCUAAACUGUAUGUCUGCGUGAUAAGUAAGAGUUAAAUUUAGAAGUCGGUAGGAUGUACUUUUUUAAUCAUUUUAUAUUAUUUUAAUGUUUUUUAUAAAAAUCAAUUUCAACCCUAGAAUAAACUAUCAAAUUUUUUUAAUAACUCAUAAGUCAUUUAAAAUAUAAAUUAUCCAAACAGACAACCUAAACUAAGCACUUAUCACAAUAAGGAGCUGCAUGGCUUAUUUUAUUUAUAAAUGAAAAAUAAUUUUUAAUUUAUCUAUUUGGAUAUAUUUUUUGAUUUUUACGGCUUAUUGAGUAUAAUAAUUAUUAACAUAAUAACAAAAUAUUAUAAAUUAUUUUUAGAAUGGUCCUUUACAUUUUUCUAAAAUCAAAUUUCAAAAUACAAAUAAGUUAGUCUCGACUUGAUAUGACUUAUAAGCUGGGAGUUGACUUAUAUAUUAUUUACAUAAAUGGAAUGAAAAAUUGUUGAAUGGUUCCCACGGAUAUAAUUCUAAAUUAAUAAUAAAUUUUAAUCAAUAAAAAUAUACUUUAAUGUGUUCAUUAUAAUAAAUAAAAUUAUAUGAUAUCAACCUUUUUCUUUUCUUACAAAAUUGGUAGAAUAAUUACGAAGUUUGUAAUUUAUAAUAAAAUAAUACAAAAACUUACGAAUACACAAUAACGAUUUCAAACUAUAAAAUUCAGAAAAAUAAUAAAGAGAUUUCAUGAUAUUUAUAAUAAAUUACUUAUUACGACUAAUAUAAAUUUUUGUGAUUCAUGAAGUUUCAUAGUAUAUAUUCAUGUACUAAUUGUAUUGUACAAUUAAAACAAAAUCAUAAUAAUUAAAUAAUUAAAAGAUAUAUAAUAUAAUGUAAAAUAAGUAUAAUAUUGUAAUAAUUAAAAAGAGUAACAAAAGUAAAGAUCAAAAUAUUUGAACCAUUCGGACACAGUUUAAAGGCAGGGUGGUUCAGAGGAAAAUUUGUGUAUUUUAAGUUUUUAACUACCGAUUCAACUAGUGUCAUUAGUGAAUAAAAAACAAAUGACUCCUGAGUCAUUCUAAAUUAUACUGUACAAGUCACCCCUAAAUUAUUACUCUCGUCCCUUCCAUUUCUUUACAUUUGUGUCCCACCCAAUUGUUUACAUUUCAAAACUUACCAAAAAUAGUCUAUGGGUCCCGCCACUUCUCCACUUUUCUUUCCAUUUCACACUAUUUUUACUCCACUAUCUUCUUUUUAUACACAAAAAAUCAAUAGGUCCCACUACUUCAUCCAUUUUUCUUUCUCUUUUCUCUCUACUUUAUACAUAAUUCUUAACUUCCGUGUCCAACUCAUUUGAUAAUAAACUAGUUGAGAAACCGCGCGUUGCGGCGGCCUAUAAAAAUUAUAUUAAUGAUUCUUAUAUUAUAAAAAUCUUGAUGUAAUACCAAUACUAAUAUAUAAAAUUGCGAAAUUGGACUAUAAUUCAUGGUGAAAAAUUGAAAAUAAAUUUGUACACGUAAUUAACAAUUUAAAGCAUAAUGAAUCUUAAUUUUAUUUGUUUUUUUUAAAAAUAAUCAUGUUCUUACAUUGUCACCUUCCUCCAAUUUUUUUGGAUUGAUUGUGCAUAAAAACAUCUAACUUAAUUAAAUCUGCGAGAUAGCAGUCUAUAACUACCCUCUUAAAAGUUGCUUGAACGGAGCAAACAGAUAAUGCAUGAAUAAUAUUUUCAUGUAUACAAAGUAAAUCAUAUAAAAAUUAACAACAACAAACAUGUCCGAUGAACAAAACAAAUAUUAUAAAAGAAUAACCAACAAACAUACAUCACUAAUAGUUAAUUUAUUAAUAUCAACCAUCAAUAUCAUGUCAAGACUACAUUCUUUUCUCGUGUUUGGAUUUGUCGACUCCAAUAUAACGGUCUAUAACUACCUUUGCUUGCUACAACUUUUAUUUUUUUAAUACUGUAUAAACAACCUUCACUCAUCGUUGAAGAAGAACGGCACCUCCGAGUUAGAAAUCGAGCAAGAGAACUAUCACCAGAGAGAGGUAGGGUUAUGGUAUUGAGAGAGAGGAGGUUGUGUUUAGAUGAUCUAAAACCCUACAAUCUAUAGGGGUAUUUAUAGGUGCAGAAAGACUUGUGUGCUACUCUUUCCUAUAAUUAAAUAAUUUGAAACAAAAUCAGAUUAAAACUUUCAAGCUAUUAUAUUCCAUAAAUAAUCUGUUUUUCCCAUAAUUAAAUAAUCUGAAACAAAUUCAGAUUAAAACUUUUAAGCUACUAUAUUCCAUAAAUAAUUUAAAACAAAAUUAGAUUUUGAAACGUGCUUCUAAUAUACCCGAAACUAAAGAAGGUAGUUCUAAUUUUUAAUAUUUUUCAUCCAAAAAAUCCAGAAAAUUAGAAAAAUAGAACGGAGCGAUGUGAGAGGCGCCACCUACAUGCCCCUCACUUCUCCUUUAUAUAGGUAAUCGAGCAAUAGAACUAUCACCAGAGAGAGUUAGGGUUGUGGUAUUGAGAAAGAGGAGGUUGUGUUUAGAUGAUCUAAAACCCUACAAUCUAUAGGGGUAUUUAUAGGUGCAGAGAGACUUGUGUGCUACUCUUUCCUAUAAUUAAAUAAUUUGAAACAAAAUCAGAUUAAAACUUUCAAGCUAUUAUAUUCCAUAAAUAAUCUGUUUUUCCCAUAAUUAAAUAAUCUGAAACAAAUUCAGAUUAAAACUUUUAAGCUACUAUAUUCCAUAAAUAAUUUAAAACAAAAUUAGAUUUUGAAACGUGCUUCUAAUAUACCCGAAACUAAAGAAGGUAAUUCUAAUUUUUAAUAUUUUUCAUCCAAAAAAUCCUGAAAAUUAGAAAAAUAGAAUGGAGCGAUGUGAGAGGCGCCACCUACACGCCCCUCGCUUCUCCUUUAUAUAAGUAUAUUGAUCGGAGGGAGGGAGGGAGUAGAAGUUACUACUACUCGUAUAAUUUUAUAAGUCGGCUUAAACGAAUCGAAAAAUAUCAACUUGAUCCCCCUUUGUAUGUUUUAUGAAAAUAAUAUCUUUUACAAUGACGUCAGUCAUGUGACAAAAUUAACCAGCCGAUGCGAUCCAAUUGAACAAUUUAUAAUGUUGGUUGAUGUCGCCUGAAUAAGACCAAUAUUCCUUAGUUAACUUCCUGAACAGCGAACCUUCCCUACUUAACAGUUUAUUAGGCUCAUCGUAUACUCCACCAACUCUCAUGCAUUUUUUUUAAAAAAAUUAUAAACAAAGAACUCUUUGUUCGAGAUAUAAAUUUUAAAUUACUUUGCAUAUAUUGAGUUGAAAUGAACGAAAUUCAUGUCUCAAUCCAUGUAACUUUGUACCGAAGGAGAAAUCAGAAAUUCUCAGGCUCUUUUCGCAGUAGCUUCUUAUGCAAAUUUCUUGUAAUAUCACUAAUUUUAAGGAAAAUAAUAUAUUUAGCAUAAUGUAAUAUAUAUCAAAGUAACGUUUUAUAAAUACAUGGCCAAUAAUGUCAGCAAUACGCUAUUAUAGAAUGAUAAUAACAUAAAUUGUCCUUGCCCGAAUGGAUAUCAAGCUAACCCGAAUUUAAAAGAAAUUCAUCAUCCGAUCGGAUUUUAUGAAAGCGUUUUUAUGAGAAAGGAAAAAACCCUAGCUAAUUGCCCGAGACGAAGUUAUACACUCAAAAGUAAAAUGACAACCCUAAUUAAAGGUUUUAGCAGAGCAAAAAGAAAGAGCAUGGGUAAGCAAAUCCUUGUUUUAUCUUCAGGUGUGCCUAUUGCUCAAUGCUCUGCAUUUGCUUGUGUUGUGUAUGUAUGCAUGCAUGGAAUUUGGUGGCAAUAUACCGGUUGUCUAGAUUGAGUUCGGUUAACAAGAGAAUGGGAACCUCGUGUUGGUGUUUUCACAAGAGGUUUAAGGGUCUGUUUGGGAGUGCUGUUAAAAAUUAUUGUGCUGUCAGAAAAAGUGCUGAUAAAAAAUGUGCUGUUGUAAAAAUCAGAUAACUGUUUGGUAAUUCUUUUUGAUAUUUGUUUAUUUUUAGUUAUAAUAUAAAAUAAUAAUGUUUUUGAUGAGGUUUGAUAAUAAAAUCUAUAACAGCUUUCUACAAAAACUAAAAAGCAGCUUUUUCCAAAAGCAUGGGGACCUGUUUUUUCUAAAAACAACUUUUCAGCUAAAAGUUGUUAUCGGAAAAGUUACUUUUAGAUUUACCAAACAGUUUUGCAGCUGUUUUUCAGCGAAAAGCUAAUCUUGUUAUCGGCAACAGCAACGCCAAAAAGUACUAAAUAAGCAAAUUAUUAUAUGGAAUGGGAAUCUUAUUCCAAUUUUGGGGUAACCAAACCUAAUAGCCUCCAUUCCCAUGCCCCACUUUCCCAUUCCCCCCACAAUCCAAAUGCCCCGUACAGCCGUACUAUAUGUUAUGCAUGCAAGUAUUCUCUGAGCCAUAGCUCUGGUUAUCACUCUACAACCCUGAAAUUCUUUAAAUUGUUUGAUGUUGUUUGUGGGCACCAGAAUAAGACCAGUAUUCCUCAACUAGCUUCCUGAACAGCGAGCCAUCCCGAUUCAACAAUUUAUUGGGCUCAUCAUACUCCACCAUCUCUCCUGCAUUUUCCAAAACAAAAAAUCACUAUAACAAAUAUUUUCAUGACUAACACUUACAUACUGAUGUAUGUGCUUAAAAAGUUACCAUUUCUCAUGGAAAGCACCAUUGUGCAGUCAAUCACAGUUGGUAUUCUGUGAGCCACUGUUAUCACGGUGCAGCCUGCAAAUUCCAUCCUUAUGGUUUUCUGUAUUAUAGUGUCUGUUGCAUUGUCAAUUGAUGCUGUUGCUUCAUCAAGAACUAGGAUCUUCCUCCUCUUUAAUAAUGCCCGUCCCAGGCAAAAUAACUGACAUUGUCCCAGGCUCCAAUUUGAUCCGUCCUCCACAACUGCCAUUCAUCUUUAUGUUAGUAACAAACACAGAGGUAUGUAUAUUCUUUACUUAGCUUUUUACAGAACUGUUUUCUUACCCAAGGAGUUCAGCCCUUCUUCUUUCUCUUGAACAGCCUCUCGGAGGUGACAUUUCUCAAGAACCUUCCUCGCAUUACAUAGUUACACACAAAGUAGUGUCAUUUUUUUUAUAGGAAAUGAAAACAAAGAUUGGACUCCGAAUGAGCAACUGGAUAAUAGUUUACCUGCCAAAUUUCACUAUCAGUAUGCUCAAAGAGGGGGUCUAUGUUAUAUCUGACGGAACCACUGAAAAGUGUUGGAUCUUGUGGGAUGAUGCUAAGCUGUGUUCUGAGGUCAUGAAGCCCAAUUUUAGAGAUAUCUAUGUCAUCUAUUAUUAUCUUUCCAGCCGUAGGUUCUACAAGGCGAAACAAGGCACUUAUCAAAGUUGUCUUCCCACUACCAGUCCUGCCAACAAUUCCAAUUCUAUGUCCUCCUUCAAAGAUGCAACUGAUUCCACGCAAAACUAGAGGCGCAUUUUGUCGGUAUUUUACCUGCUUAAUUCAGACUUUUCAUUAUGUACCAGUAUCUACAAACAUAAAUUUAUGAACAAAAUAAACCACAAAAGAGACACUGAUACCUUUAGAUUGUUGAUUUCUACUCUCCCAGAAACUGGCCAGUUAAGUGGAGGACGGUUAUCUUCUAGUUUUUCGGGGGCCUCACUAGGAAUGUGCAUGCACUGUUCUAGCCUCUCCACGGAAAUGAUGAAAUUUGACAGCAUGCAGUGCAUAUUUAUAGCAUAUACAAGGAAUUCAUUCAUUGAAAGGGCGUAUGAUAGAGCCAUCCCGACAUAUCCUGUAAUUUAUAAGUAAGUGAUAGACGCACUUAGCUCUGUUUUAGUCCUCGGAUGACAAUAAAACUGAACAAGACACUUUCAAGCUCACAAAUGGAGCUGCACCAACAUGAAAAAAAAUUUGUGCAAUAUAAAAGAAGAUACCUAACCUGAUUUAGAAGCUCCAAGAGGCAUCAAAGUCAUGCCAAGUGCAGAGAAUGAGACGAUAACUGCACAUAAUCCUUCCAGAUGUAGUAUCAACCACUCAUUUGCUGAAAAACUGUGGAAGUAUGGAAUUGAGUUUGCAUCAAUAAGACGGAAGUUUUCAGAAAUAAACCUAUUUUCUUCUUUAAAGGCUCUGAUGGUCACCGCUCCAGCAAUUGACUCGGCAAGCUGGCUUGCAACUGAAGACUUUGUCGUGCCAUUAAUACGCAUCAACUCAUUAGCCGAAGCUAAGUAGAAUUUCUGCAAGUUCAGUUACAAGAAUCUUGAGUUCUUUCUAAAAGAGUAUUUUACAUUUCUUAGCAGUGUUGUAAAAUUACCUGUAAAACUAUGGUAAUAUAAACUGUGGGAAUGAUGAGAAAUAAGAUAGGCCAGGUGAGUACAGCCAAUAUUCCAAAGCUGAGACACGUGUUCAAUGCUGAUCCGAUUGCAGUUGCAAAUUUUAUUGCCACUUCAAGGUCUAUGAUACUCAGAUCAGAAGAUAACUAUUGAAAGUAUUAAAUAUGUAAGUCAUAUGAUGAUCGUAUUAUCACGACUGUAAUGUAAAUUUGGCUAAUUUAGAUAUCCUUACCCGGCUCAGUAUCCUUCCAACAGGUGUCGAAUCAAAGUAGGACAUAGGUGCUCGAAAGAUUGACACUACUGCCUUGGAAAAAAUAGAUUCCGACGCCUUAGUACUUAAUUCAACUACUACAUAAGAUCUUAUAAGUAGGCACACUGACAUUACACACCCAAUCCCAGUGUAUACUGCAUUUAGUAUGACAAUGCUUAUAGCGGGAUUUUGAAGUUCAGCAGCCAACCAAACACCUUGACCUAAUUGACCAACUAUGAAUAACAUAUGGAAUAUGACUGAUAGUGAAAGGUAUAAGAAUCCCUGGUUUUGCUUUAAGUAUUGUUUGUAAGGUUUUAGACCGCGGUCUCCGGUCUCUUUCUGCUCUUUUUCAAUCAACUGGUCUCCCAGCCCUUUGUGAAGCUCUUCUUCAACAUCAAUUUCUUGUAUCUCUUGGUUGGAAACUGUAGGACUUUGUGGAGAACUAUAACUCAUUCGUCCUUCCGGAUUGGUAGCAUCACUUUUCACAAUCAAAAGAUUUUGAAAAUCUGGACUAUGAACUAACUGCUGGUACUUAUCAGCUUGCAGGAUUUUCCCUUCAGACAUUAGCUGCCAAAAACAAUUGCUUCUUAUUUUCUGAAUAUGUAUCACUAUUAAAUGGAUUCGAAAAAUGAAAGACAUUAAUAAUCCCUCAUUCUUCUCUACUGUAAAAGGGAAAACAAUAUCUCAUGUUUUGAUUAAAAUUACUAACCAGAAUAAUAUCAAAAACAGGGAGGAAGUCAACUUGGUGGGUGACAAGCAUAACCGUUUUUUCUGAUAAUGCUCCCAUGACAUACUCCUGCAAAAAUCAAAAUUUGUCCAUAAAACAAAGGAAAAUCUUUGAAAUGGAACUGAAAUUAGCUUAAAACAUAGGUCACAUUAAAUAAGCUGGUUGCAGUAUGUGCAUCCACAGCGCUAAAUGGAUCAUCAAGAAGGUAUAUAUCUGCAUCUUGAUAUAGUGCACGAGCAAGUUGAACCCGCUGUUUCUGCCCACCGCUGAGGUUAACACCUCUUUCCCCUAUUACUGUCUGAUCACCACAUGGAAGAAUUUGCAGGUCCUGUACAAGUGAACAUCUUUUUAGUACUUUAUGGUACUUUUCUUGAUCCAUAGAUGACCCGAAGAGUAUAUUCUCUUGUAUAGUGCCUGUUUGGAUCCAUGCUGUCUGAGCAACAUAAGCUACCUUUCCAUCCACCUGGACCUAUAAAAUUCAGAAGUACUCAUUUCAGUUGAACCGGUGAGAAAACACAUUGCAAAGCUGCAUGUUUAUAAAUUGAGAUUUAUAUGUUAGUCAAAUUCUGCAGGAACAUCUUUGAGAAUGUGUGUUACUUCUGAUUUAUAUUAUAAUUUUAAUAUUUAGGAGGAGAAAUCAUUUGUGACUCACCGUGCCCUUAGUGCAUGAAACUUCUCCAAGAAUUGCAGCUAAAAGGGUUGAUUUACCUGAGCCAACUUCUCCGCAAAUUGCAACCUUCUCGCCAGAUUGUAUAUUCAAAUUUAUAUUCUCCAGAGUGAGCUUUGAGGAAUUGAUAUCCCAUGAUAAACUUGCUUCUUUAAUUAAUAUAGACUGUGCAAUUACCUUGCAAUGACCUUCACUUCUUUUUUGCAAUUCAGAUUCCUCAAGGAACUGCUGGAUACGAGUUAAUGCAACCUUUGCUUCAAUGAAACUUCCUACAACAUCAGGUAAAAGCCUAAUAUGCUCUUGGACAAUACGGAUUGUUGCAAGAAAUGUAAACACGUUGCUAGUAUCUAGAGGAACUCCCAUCAGAUAGCAUGCCCAGAAAGUUACUACUGUAAUUACGAGAGGGGAUGACCAAAAGAGUGCUAGGUAAUAGCCUCUUUGUGUCAGAAUUGCGGACAACCACCUUUCUUCUUCUUUCCUCAAUCCUUCUACAACAUGUCUAAAGUGGGUCUCCCAACCAUACAACUUCAGUACUUUCAUGUUUGUCACUGCCUCCGUGAUGGCCUUGAGCC
This 12398-nucleotide long non-coding RNA is filed under the name Daucus carota (carrot). RNAcentral's name for it is "long non-coding RNA (DCAR_LNC001614)". Lineage: Eukaryota; Viridiplantae; Streptophyta; Magnoliopsida; Apiales; Apiaceae. The record is from RNAcentral.